GAUGAACGCUGGCGGCGUGCCUAAUACAUGCAAGUCGAGCGAACGGACGAGAAGCUUGCUUCUCUGAUGUUAGCGGCGGACGGGUGAGUAACACGUGGAUAACCUACCUAUAAGACUGGGAUAACUUCGGGAAACCGGAGCUAAUACCGGAUAAUAUUUUGAACCGCAUGGUUCAAAAGUGAAAGACGGUCUUGCUGCCACUUAUAGAUGGAUCCGCGCUGCAUUAGCUAGUUGGUAAGGUAACGGCUUACCAAGGCAACGAUGCAUAGCCGACCUGAGAGGGUGAUCGGCCACACUGGAACUGAGACACGGUCCAGACUCCUACGGGAGGCAGCAGUAGGGAAUCUUCCGCAAUGGGCGAAAGCCUGACGGAGCAACGCCGCGUGAGUGAUGAAGGUCUUCGGAUCGUAAAACUCUGUUAUUAGGGAAGAACAUAUGUGUAAGUAACUGUGCACAUCUUGACGGUACCUAAUCAGAAAGCCACGGCUAACUACGUGCCAGCAGCCGCGGUAAUACGUAGGUGGCAAGCGUUAUCCGGAAUUAUUGGGCGUAAAGCGCGCGUAGGCGGUUUUUUAAGUCUGAUGUGAAAGCCCACGGCUCAACCGUGGAGGGUCAUUGGAAACUGGAAAACUUGAGUGCAGAAGAGGAAAGUGGAAUUCCAUGUGUAGCGGUGAAAUGCGCAGAGAUAUGGAGGAACACCAGUGGCGAAGGCGACUUUCUGGUCUGUAACUGACGCUGAUGUGCGAAAGCGUGGGGAUCAAACAGGAUUAGAUACCCUGGUAGUCCACGCCGUAAACGAUGAGUGCUAAGUGUUAGGGGGUUUCCGCCCCUUAGUGCUGCAGCUAACGCAUUAAGCACUCCGCCUGGGGAGUACGACCGCAAGGUUGAAACUCAAAGGAAUUGACGGGGACCCGCACAAGCGGUGGAGCAUGUGGUUUAAUUCGAAGCAACGCGAAGAACCUUACCAAAUCUUGACAUCCUUUGACAACUCUAGAGAUAGAGCUUUCCCCUUCGGGGGACAAGGUGACAGGUGGUGCAUGGUUGUCGUCAGCUCGUGUCGUGAGAUGUUGGGUUAAGUCCCGCAACGAGCGCAACCCUUAAGCUUAGUUGCCAUCAUUAAGUUGGGCACUCUAAGUUGACUGCCGGUGACAAACCGGAGGAAGGUGGGGAUGACGUCAAAUCAUCAUGCCCCUUAUGAUUUGGGCUACACACGUGCUACAAUGGACAAUACAAAGGGCAGCGAAACCGUGAGGUCAAGCAAAUCCCAUAAAGUUGUUCUCAGUUCGGAUUGUAGUCUGCAACUCGACUACAUGAAGCUGGAGUCGCUAGUAAUCGUAGAUCAGCAUGCUACGGUGAAUACGUUCCCGGGUCU
RNAcentral lists this ribosomal RNA (1372 nucleotides) under uncultured bacterium. RNAcentral's name for it is "bacterial SSU rRNA". It matches the Rfam family "Bacterial small subunit ribosomal RNA", at positions 28 to 1381 of the family's 1533-position model. The record is from RNAcentral.